Nicotiana tabacum (common tobacco) is the source of this 5494-nucleotide non-coding RNA. The record is from RefSeq and is a predicted model, not a curated record. NCBI's taxonomy places the organism in Eukaryota, Viridiplantae, Streptophyta, Magnoliopsida, Solanales, Solanaceae.
CUAGUCGCUCUCUCUCCUCUUCUCCCUCUCCAUUUUUGAGUAAGUUUGCCUGUCAGCCAUGGCCUAUUUUUGCCAUGUCCUUUUCGUGCAACUUCUUGCUUUUCUUUGCAGCAGACUCGGACAAAUGAGGACACAGCCCUUAUCAUUUUACCAAGAAAUUUCCUGGAAACUCACCCGUUAUUAUCCCUUUCUCCCCAAGAAUACCCAUAUAUAUCACAUUUGCACGAUAUAACAGAGGGAGAACGGAGAGAAUAGGGCACAUUCCGAGAACACACGAAAAGGGGAUUGGGGGACGGAAAACAGAGAACGCAUGGAGGGACAAGAGGGAAAUCGGGUAGUUUUGAGCAAAAGGGGGUCCUCAUCAACCUUUUUUCUACAGUUUUCUUCUUCAUUAAGAGCAAAUGUUUAACCCCAAAAUAGUCCCAAAAUCUCCCGUGAAACAGUCCUAAAGAGCAGCAAAAUCAGCCACGAAAACCAGUCGAGCAACCAAACUCCGUCGAAGAUCCGGCGAGGCUUCUAUGUCGAGGCUCCGAUUCGUUGCUUUGGCGUUUCAGUCCGCCGAUCGUUGCUCCGUUCGGGCGGAUUGAGAUGUAAAUUUUCAGAUGGAAAUCAACCACAACAUCCUUGAAAUUAGCAUGGUCAUAGGAGCGCCCCACAAGUUGAAAAAAUGGUGGAAAAACAUCUGAUACAGAUGGAAUUAGGACACAUCUUGGAGCGCUGACCGCGUUGAUGAAUGUCCGAGGUGAUAGAGUGCUUACCAGGUUGUGGAUAGAAUUCUGGAAUCCAACCAAAGCGGUUUUCAAGUUUGUUGACUUUGAGCUAACACUAACGCUCGAGGAAGUUACCAACUUUACUGAGUUGCCAUGCUGUCGUGUCAUAGGUUUCUCUAUGUAUUGGGAUUGAAGAGAAACAUGGACCUAAAGAACGUCGAAGACGGGUGGAUAAGCCUAGACCAGUUGUUGAAUAGUUUGGGCAUCUAGAAAGCUAUAAUCUGCAUCAUGAAGAAUUUCAAUAUGAUAGGGAAACAUGGAGAACCUUCGCCCUUUGAUGUUCUCUUUGGCAUUGUUGGGACUUCUGUUGUUUUCACAGCAGAAAGGGCAGAUCAACAUUAAUGUGCUACCUCUAGUCUUGGCCACAUUUUGGGGGAAUUUGCGGGUCACUCUUGUCCCGAUGUUGUUGGCAGAAUUAUUCAAGGCAUUAUCAUCAUGUUCAAGGGGAUAUGACUUCUUUAAGGGUUGCAACCUGUUGUUGCAAAUAUGGGCUACAGAGCAUAUCUUUCAAAGAGAGCCGACCAUCGAUUACAUUGUCGGUACCAGCAAUAUGAUCCGCAAUCAUGAAGAGAGAAUGAGGCACUGUGCCUUUAAAACAGUGUUUUCGGAGAUCUGUUAUCCUUACUUUUGCCCCAAAGAAUAGUAUAAAGGCCUAACACAAUCACAAUAGCACUAAGUAUCCUGCCAAAAAAUGUACAUUUGUUUAGUUUUGGUUACAACUCUUAUAUGAGUUUUAGGAUUAAAAUUUUACCUUCCAAGGUUCAUUUAUUCAUGGAGAGGUAAUGUAAUGGUUACAACUACCAUAACCAUGUUUAAGAGAUUAAACGUUGUAAUAAAAAUAGGACCCCUAUUUUCAUUAUGAAUCCUUGUAUGUAAUACGUUAGUCAUGAACAACAUAUCCUCUGGGCUGUGACAUGGAAUGUAAGGAACUUUUAAUAGAUUUAACAUGUAGAAGCAAAGUUUUUCUUGAAAGAGAUGUUAGAAAAUAUUGAUCUUUUAACCUACUUACAUUGUACGCGACCGCAAGCAGUUUUGCAUCCCAAUGGAUGCUCCAUACUUCAGUCUUUCUUCUUUCCAUCACCGCUGCUACUAUACCUCCCACAAUUGUCCAAAGAAAGCAUAUCCAUAUCGUGAGGGAGAGCACGACAGGAUAGGUCCGCGAUGUGAUCGCCUAGGCAUAGAACAACACUAGAGUAAGAUUUUUUGCUUAUUCCUAAUAACUUAUCUGCAACUAAGUUCUAUCUUUACCAGCAAAAUUAUGAAGCCUGUCGAACUCAAGCACCCACUUAUUAGCACGAGGGAACCUUUAAUAAAAUAAUUUGAAUUUGGGUUUAUCCCACCACUUUGAGAUGUAUGAUUAGGCUUUCCUUUUGUCCAAAGUCCAAACACAGGGCUUUGUACCAGAAUCAUUAUCAGUACACCACCAAAUGUGGUAAUAGUGCCAAUUAGCUUGGCCAAGCUGCGGAGACUUUUAAGAUUCAUCGUCUCAGGCCUGAAUAAACAAAAUAUGUGCAAAAAGAAUUUAAAUUACAAUAAAUACUCAUUGAUACAUAGUGUAUUAAAAUGAUUAAAUUAGCCCAUGUAAUACAACAACACUAUAGAGAUCUUUAAUUCCAUAUUCUAGAUCUCAAAUAGCUAUGAAUGUAGUUGUAGCUGAGUUGCAGAAACAAGAAAUAUUAACUUAUAUUAACCAAGAGUGUAAAUCACUACAUAUGUAAUAUUACAUUGUAAUAGGUUUUUAAGUGUUUGAUUUGAAGCUACAAGAUGUGUAUUUGAAUGAGACAAGGAUAUAAUUUUUCUAGCAUAUCCAAGCCAUUAUUAAAGUAAUGGCAGGAAUAACGUUGCACAUUUCAGAUGCAAAAGUUGUUGUUGUAUCUUUCAAGCCUAGAGAGAAGAAAAUCUACCCGAUGACUGGCUUGUUGGUCAAGAGAAAGAUGUUUAAUUAAAUGUUGAUUACAUGGGAAAAAGAUUUUUUUUUUUGUGUUUGAGACUACUCGGUAUGCUAAGAGCUACAAUCUUAGCGAGUAUUGCGCGAUUCAUCUUUGGUCUUGUAUUCAUGUAAAAAGAUAUUCAGCUUGUCUGUUAGAUUUUGUAUUUUCUUUUUAUUGCUCAUAACUAGGCUAGAAUCAAAGUUCAAACAUGUUAAGUAAACAGUGAACAUAAGAAGAGAUGGAGGGAGAGAGAAACAUACUUGUCUAGAAAUAUCGCAAAAGGAGCAAUGACCAAAGUAGCCAUUACAUGUCGAUAGAAGGCAAAUACAUUAGCGCUUAACCCUUCAUUCAGAGCAACUUUUCAUAGGAUAUCGAAACAUGCUAGCACACAUUGCAGAAAGACUGCAACAAUGAAAGAUCUAGCUCUGUUGAAUUAAUUCCUCAUUUGGAUGAUUUCUGUUAUGCAAAGGUUUUCAGUGUUGGAAGCAGGAAGAGGAGAUGGCAGAUUUCUGUUAUGCAAUUGACACGACGACCAACUUCUCUAUAUAGAAGAGAAUCAAUUAUAGGAGAUAGGGGGAAGAAUGGGCUAGGGUGAUAAUACAAAAUCAGAAUCCGUUUGUGAUUUUGCUAAUAAAUAAAUUUCCUAUCUGUAAAAUCAUUAACGAAAGUAGCAGAGAAACAUAUGUUGAAAGCUUUAUAGAAAAUUUUCUCUGAAUGAGACAAGGGUAUAAUUUACCUACAUAUCCAGGCCUUUCAUCCAAAUGAGGAAUUCAUCCAACAACACUGAAAACCUUUACAGAAUAGAAAUCAUCCAAAUGAGGAAUUUAUUCAACAGAGUUAGACCUUUCAUUGUUGCAGUCUUUCUGCAAUGUGUGCUAGCAUGUUUCGAUGUCCUGUCGAAAGUUGCUCUGAAUGAAGGGUUAAGAGCCUAUGUGUUUGCCUUCUAUCGAUAUGCAGUGGCUACUUUGGUCCUUUCUCCUUUUGCGGUAUUUAUAGACAAGUAUUCUUCUUUCUCUUCCUCUCUUAUGUUCACUUAACAUGUUUGAACUUUAAUUCUAGCCUAGUUAUGAGUAGUAGAAAGAAAAUACAAAAACUAACAGAUAAGCUGAAUAUCUUUUCACAUGAAUACAAGACCAAAGAUGGCUCGUGCAAUAUUUACUAAGAUUAUAGCUCUUAGCAUAGUGGAGUAAGUCUCAAACAUAAAAUAUUAUUUUUUCCCCAUGCAAUCAGUAUUUAAUUAAAGAUCUUUCUCUUGACCAACAGACCAGUCAUCCGUUAUAUUUUCUUCUCUCUAGGCUUGAAAGAUACAAUAACUUUUGCAUCUGCAAUGUUAUUCCUAUCAUUACUUUAAUAAUGGGCUGGAUAUGCAAGUAAAUUAUACCCUUGUCUCAUUCAAAUACACACCUUGUAUCUCUAAAUCAAACACUUGAAAACCUAUUACAAUGAAAUAUUAUAUACGUAGUGAUUUACAUUCUUAGUUAGUAUUACUUAAUAGUUCAUAUUUCUACAACGUACAUUCAAAGCUAUUUGAGAUCUAGAAUAUGGAAUUAAAGAUCUUUAUAAUGUUGUUACAUUAUAUGGGCUAGUUAAUUCUUUUUAAUACACUGUGUAUUAAGGGGUACUUAUUGUAAUUUUAAAUUCUUUUUGUACAUAUUUUAUUUAUUCAGGCUUGAGACGCCAUUCCUUAGCCGGAAAGAUAUGUGGCCAUGAAAGAGGGAUGAAUCUUAAAAGUCCCUGCAGUCUGGCCAAGCUAAUUGGCACCAUUGCCACAUUUGGUGGUGUACUGAUAAAGAUUCUGGUACAAGGCCUUGUGUUUGAACUUUAAACAGAAGGAAAGCCUAAUCAUGCAUCUCAAAAUGGUGGGAUAAACUCAAAUUCAAAUAUUUUUAUUAAAGGUUCCCUCCUGCUAAUAAGUGGAUGCUUGAGUUCGACAAGCUUCAUAAUUUUACUAGUAAAGAUAGAACUUAGUUACAGAUAAGUUAUUAGGAAUAAGCCAAAAAUCUUACUCUAGUAUUGUUUUAUGCCUAGGCGAUCACAUCGCGGUCCUAUCCUGCCGGGCUCUCCCUCACGACAUGGAUAUGAUUUCUUGGGACAAUUAAGGGAGGUAUAGUAGCAGCGGUGAUGGAAAGAAAAAAGACUGUAGUAUGGAGCAUCCAUUGGGACGCAAAGCUUCUUGCGGUCAUGUACAGUGUAAGUAGGUUAAAAAAAUCAAUGUUUCCUAACAUCUCUUUCAAGAAAUAUUUUGCCUCUACAUGUUAAGUCUAUUAAAAGUUACUUACUUUUCAUGUCACAAUCCAGGGGAUAUGUUGUUCAGGACUAACGUAUUACAUACAAGGAUUCAUAAUGAAAUACAAUGGUCUAGUUUUCCUAACAGCGUUCACUCCCUUAAAUAUGGUUAUGGUAGUUGUAACCAGUACAUUACUUCUCCAUGAACAAAUGAACCUCAGAAGGAUGCUUGGUACUACUGUGAUUGUGUUAGGACUUUACACUGUUCUUUGGAUCAAAAGUAAGGAUAACAGAUCUCCGGCAACAGAGGAACUAGCACCAACAGAAGAGCCUGGAGGAGAUUUCGGGGCUUACAAAGAUUUCAUGGGAUCAUACGAUUGCCCUUAGAGAAUUGAAAUGGUACAUAAUGGAAAUCAGCCAACAACUCAAUAAUCUUCCCUGGAAUCUCCUCCUCUAGGUCUUCUUCAGGAUCUUCCUCAAAUUCUUCCUUGACAUCCUCAUUAUUGAUACUUAAUUUUGUCCUCAUAUUUUAUAAAGUAUCAUAUACUUUCAAAAUAUUAUUUUGCA